GACGAACGCUGGCGGCGUGCUUAACACAUGCAAGUCGAACGGAAAGGCCUCUUCGGAGGUACUCGAGUGGCGAACGGGUGAGUAACACGUGGGUGAUCUGCCCUGCACUCCGGGAUAAGCCUGGGAAACUGGGUCUAAUACCGGAUAGGACCAUGCUUUAGUGUGUGUGGUGGAAAGUUUUUUCGGUGUAGGAUGAGCCCGCGGCCUAUCAGCUUGUUGGUGGGGUAAUGGCCUACCAAGGCGGCGACGGGUAGCCGGACUGAGAGGUUGGUCGGCCACAUUGGGACUGAGAUACGGCCCAGACUCCUACGGGAGGCAGCAGUGGGGAAUAUUGCACAAUGGGCGCAAGCCUGAUGCAGCGACGCCGCGUGGGGGAUGACGGCCUUCGGGUUGUAAACUCCUUUCGCCAGGGACGAAGCGUUUUGUGACGGUACCUGGAGAAGAAGCACCGGCUAACUACGUGCCAGCAGCCGCGGUAAUACGUAGGGUGCAAGCGUUGUCCGGAAUUAUUGGGCGUAAAGCGAGCGCAGGCGGUCAAUUAAGUCUGAUGUGAAAGCCCCCGGCUCAACCGGGGAGGGUCAUUGGAAACUGGUUGACUUGAGUGCAGAAGAGGAGAGUGGAAUUCCAUGUGUAGCGGUGAAAUGCGUAGAUAUAUGGAGGAACACCAGUGGCGAAGGCGACUCUCUGGUCUGUAACUGACGCUGAGGCUCGAAAGCGUGGGUAGCAAACAGGAUUAGAUACCCUGGUAGUCCACGCCGUAAACGAUGAGUGCUAAGUGUUGGAGGGUUUCCACCCUUCAGUGCUGCAGUUAACGCAUUAAGCACUCCGCCUGGGGAGUACGACCGCAAGGUUGAAACUCAAAGGAAUUGACGGGGACCCGCACAAGCGGUGGAGCAUGUGGUUUAAUUCGAAGCAACGCGAAGAGCCUUACCAAGUCUUGACAUACUGUGAGGACACAAGAGAUUGUGUUGUUCUGACCUUUGGUUAGACACAGAUACAGGUGGUGCAUGGUUGUCGUCAGCUCGUGUCGUGAGAUGUUGGGUUAAGUCCCGCAACGAGCGCAACCCUUAUAUCUAGUUGCCAGCAGUAAGAUGGGGACUCUAGAUAGACUGCCAGUGAUAAACUGGAGGAAGGUGGGGAUGACGUCAAAUCAUCAUGCCCCUUAUGACUUGGGCUACACACGUGCUACAAUGGAUAGGAACAAAGAGAAGCGAGCUCGCGAGAGUAAGCAAACCUCACAAAACUAUUCUCAGUUCGGAUUGUAGUCUGCAACUCGACUACAUGAAGCUGGAAUCGCUAGUAAUCGCGAAUCAGAAUGUCGCGGUGAAUACGUUCCCGGGUCU
Molecule: ribosomal RNA, 1343 nt
Filed under: uncultured bacterium
Lineage: Bacteria
Description: bacterial SSU rRNA
Rfam family: Bacterial small subunit ribosomal RNA
Source: RNAcentral